GCGAAAGCUGCUGGGGGCGCCUGGGUCACACCUUCUCACUAGACUGUAGCACAACACAGAUCUGACUGGCAGGAGUUUGCUCAUGAGGGGAACUUCCGCAAGCUGUGAACACAUUACCUUCCGCAGGCGGCUCUGGGAGCUGCGGUUGCCUGUUCCGGGGAAGACUGCACUGAUGUCCUGGCUUCCCUCCAACUCAUUAUGUAGCUGAAGAGAAGGACAACCUCAAACUCCUGCUCCUUCUGUCUCUAUUGUUCAAGAUCUGGGAUAACUUUCAUGUGCUUCCGUACCCAGCUUAUGGGCUGCUGGGGAUUGAACCCCAGGCUUCAUGCGUGCUAGACUCUCCGUGGAGUCAAAGAGUCAGGAGUCAGGAGGGACUGGCACCCCUGGAGGAGACUGGCUCCCGAGAGUCGCCUGGCAGGCCCAGGUCCCUGAGGCUGAUGCCCAGAUGAGAAGAUAAAGCCACACAGAGCAGAAGGCACAGCACCUGGCGGAAACACCGUUUGCACAGCCUAUGGCAGCGCUAUGUCCAGAGGGAAGGGAAUUUGCUGGCAGAAGGCAGUGGACACAGUGGACUGCUGAAG
Molecule: long non-coding RNA, 581 nt
Organism: Alexandromys fortis (reed vole)
Lineage: Eukaryota; Metazoa; Chordata; Mammalia; Rodentia; Cricetidae
Exons: 4
Source: RefSeq, a predicted model, not a curated record